GGCCUGGCUGGACGGUCCGCCCUUCGGGUGAGUACUGUCUGUGGUCGGGUCCUACCUUCUGGCGAAGCGUCAUGGCCUUAACCGGCCGUGGCGGGGAACCAGGACUUUUACUGUGAAAAAAUUAGAGUGUUUAAAGCAGGCUCACGCUUGAAUACAUUAGCAUGGAAUAAUGAAAUAGGACAAUGGUUCUAUUUGUUGGUUUCUAGGACUGUUGUA
Molecule: ribosomal RNA, 216 nt
Filed under: Campeiostachys nutans
Lineage: Eukaryota; Viridiplantae; Streptophyta; Magnoliopsida; Poales; Poaceae
Description: Elymus nutans partial small subunit ribosomal RNA
Rfam family: Eukaryotic small subunit ribosomal RNA (bases 94-216)
Source: RNAcentral